Anopheles stephensi (Asian malaria mosquito) is the source of this 686-nucleotide RNA transcript. RefSeq lists it as uncharacterized. The transcript is spliced from 2 exons. The record is from RefSeq and is a predicted model, not a curated record. Lineage: Eukaryota; Metazoa; Arthropoda; Insecta; Diptera; Culicidae.
GAUCUUCUUUGUUUUCUUCCCGUUUCGCUGAUGUCGUGUGGUCCGUUCGCGCGUGCUUGCCAGUGUGAGUAAUGUUGGAGCUCAUAAAAUUUCGCCGAUUCCGUGUGCGUGUGUAUGUGUGAGCAAUGCUGUAGCCACGAAUGGUUGGUGAGCGGCAUGAUCUCACUCGGUCAUUCCAAACAAUAAUCUCGAGCCGGACGCACUGCGGCAGCAGACAACGCUUCACGUACCAUUACGCCUCCAAGUGACAGAUCAAGGAAUUGCAGCAAAAAGCUAGUGAAAAUCUCCAACGGUUCCUGCGCUUCAUAAUGCCGAACCUUAAAAGACGUUGCACACGGGCAGGGUGCUACAAGCCCUGUUCCGUCCGGGUCAAGAAAACGAAGAGGAAGCAAAUCAUCGUCCACCCGUACGGUUACACGAUGAACAUUCCGCGCCGUAACAAUCCGAACGCCAGACGUCCGAUAGAGGAUGUCAACAAGGAGGUAAUGAGGAGUCUGCGAUGCGGCUUUUUGAUUGUGUGCGUACUGCUCGCCUACCUGUGGUCAAUGUACUAUUUGUUUAGAUCUUAAAAUUUUGGCGGUUGGUAACAGCCGAUGUGUGCUACUAGCGAUUAAAUAGCAAGUCAUUAAAAUCCAUGUGUGUUGUCUCCUUUUUCUUAACUUUUAACAGCAUUUGAAAAUUUUCCG